RNAcentral lists this ribosomal RNA (497 nucleotides) under uncultured bacterium. Its description in RNAcentral is "partial 16S ribosomal RNA". It matches the Rfam family "Bacterial small subunit ribosomal RNA", at positions 28 to 507 of the family's 1533-position model. The record is from RNAcentral.
GAUGAACGCUGGCGGCGUGCCUAAUACAUGCAAGUCGAGCGAACAGACGAGGAGCUUGCUCCUUUGACGUUAGCGGCGGACGGGUGAGUAACACGUGGAUAACCUACCUAUAAGACUGGGAUAACUUCGGGAAACCGGAGCUAAUACCGGAUAAUAUAUUGAACCGCAUGGUUCAAUAGUGAAAGACGGUUUUGCUGUCACUUAUAGAUGGAUCCGCGCCGCAUUAGCUAGUUGGUAAGGUAACGGCUUACCAAGGCAACGAUGCGUAGCCGACCUGAGAGGGUGAUCGGCCACACUGGAACUGAGACACGGUCCAGACUCCUACGGCAGGCAGCAGUAGGGAAUCUUCCGCAAUGGGCGAAAGCCUGACGGAGCAACGCCGCGUGAGUGAUGAAGGUCUUCGGAUCGUAAAACUCUGUUAUUAGGGAAGAACAAAUGUGUAAGUAACUAUGCACGUCUUGACGGUACCUAAUCAGAAAGCCACGGCUAACUACGUG